GUGUUAUUUCGGUAGCACAUAUACUAAAAUUGGAACGAUACAGAGAAGAUUAGCAUGGCCCCUGCGCAAAGG
Parambassis ranga (Indian glassy fish) is the source of this 72-nucleotide small nuclear RNA. Lineage: Eukaryota; Metazoa; Chordata; Actinopteri; Ambassidae. The record is from Ensembl.